CGGACGUGGAUAACCUGCCUCACACAGGGGGAUAACAGUUAGAAAUGACUGCUAAUACUGCAUAAGCGCACGGCAUCGCAUGAUGCAGUGUGAAAAACUCCGGUGGUGUGAGAUGGAUCCGCGUCGGAUUAGGUAGUUGGUGGGGUAACGGCCCACCAAGCCGACGAUCAGUAGCCGACCUGAGAGGGUGACCGGCCACAUUGGGACUGAGACACGGCCCAA
RNAcentral lists this ribosomal RNA (222 nucleotides) under uncultured bacterium. Its description in RNAcentral is "partial 16S ribosomal RNA". It matches the Rfam family "Bacterial small subunit ribosomal RNA", at positions 112 to 334 of the family's 1533-position model. The record is from RNAcentral.